Molecule: long non-coding RNA, 716 nt
Organism: Cavia porcellus (domestic guinea pig)
Lineage: Eukaryota; Metazoa; Chordata; Mammalia; Rodentia; Caviidae
Exons: 3
Source: RefSeq, a predicted model, not a curated record
GCCGGGGCGGCGCUUCCGCCGCUACAGCUCAGCAGCAGCCCCAGUGGCGAGGGCUCCGCCUCGCCCCCGGUGCAGAACUUGGUCUUCAUGCCGGACAGGCGGGCGAAGAGACGCGGGCGGCCGCAGCGCGAGAGGCUCAAUGUCUCUCAGUAGUCUCUCUGCCUCGUUGAAUGACUGACCAGGACGAGACCCUCUUCAUAAAAGCCAGGACACUUGAGUCAUUUGUGUAAGAAACCUGCUGCCUCAAGUCAAGGAGACCUCACAGCAAUCACAAGUCAAGCACCUGAGGGGCCCAGGACCUGCAGAACAUGUGAUGAUCAGAGCCAAACUUCUGGACCUUCAGGACAAGGAGGUGGACACUGCGGUCACCCCACUUUCACGGACGGGAAACUAAGGCUGGAUCGGCCAAGCUGCUCAGCCUGGAGCCCACAGAGAUGGAAUUUGCUCAGAGGCUCUCCCAGGGCCCUCUGGAAGCCCAGAGUCCCAUCUCCCUCCCACACCCCACGUCUUCUGACUCCGCCAUCCCCUUGUAAACCCCUGCGUCAGCCACACCGGGCAGCACCAUCUUUCCCAGAAGCCACCCUGUCCUCACUUGUCUCCAAGACUGUGAACACAUUCACUGUUUUUCUGACCCUGUUUCCAAGCUCCUGUUCACCACAUCCUUUUUUCUAUUUUAAAGAGAAAAAAAUAAAAACAAAAUUUCAAAACAAGAUAAA